Acanthopagrus latus (yellowfin seabream) is the source of this 504-nucleotide long non-coding RNA. RefSeq lists it as uncharacterized. The transcript is spliced from 5 exons. The record is from RefSeq and is a predicted model, not a curated record. Lineage: Eukaryota; Metazoa; Chordata; Actinopteri; Spariformes; Sparidae.
CGUUAUCACGCGAGAGUUCCGGUCUUCUUGCUCUUUCCCGGUAGCAGGAGGACGGACCGGUGGUGGGACGCGCUAGCAUGCCGGUUCCACGUCUUAUAAUGCAUUUAUGUCUGAAUAUGGAGUUAACUGCGGAUGAGCCGCCUUGAACAGGAGCUUUGGCGGAUGUGAAAUGAGGCUCAUCAUCUUGUCAACCAAGGCGACAUCAUAAUGAAAGGUUCAUGGCUCGUCUGUCCCACUUGACAUCUACAGCCACAUGGAGACGGGUGGGAGCGUGUUGAAAAGAGGUCCCGAGAUCCGCAAAGCGAGACCAUAAGAUGUCACAUGGGCGCUGAGAGGGGCCGAACAGAUGAAACCAGGAAGGAAGUGGACAUUGAACUGCACUUAAACCUAUAAUAUAUUGGCCUACUUUCCAAUUUUGUUUCUUGAUGUCUUCCUAAUGUAUUUUAAAUGCAAUUUUUCAUUUGGUUUAAUGUCAUUUUUAUGCCCCUGUAAAGCACUUGGUGU